Molecule: long non-coding RNA, 1935 nt
Filed under: Macaca fascicularis (crab-eating macaque)
Lineage: Eukaryota; Metazoa; Chordata; Mammalia; Primates; Cercopithecidae
Description: lncRNA (ENSMFAG00000059437.1)
Source: RNAcentral
CAGAUGAGUCUUCAAAUUUUGUAUCAAGACAGAUUGAAGUGGUGAGGUCUGAACAUAAUGCUGCAAUUUUCCAGGCUUCAUGAGCAUGAGGAAGAGGACAUAAAGUCUGGUAAAUUCCCAAUAUCCACUUUCAAUGACAGCAACUUGCUCAAUGCUCUACGUUCUGCUAUUAAUCAAAAUCUGUACAGCAAAAUUUCAUGCUGUAAGACUUGUAGCAACUUGACCAUAGUAGAUGAAACAAUUUAAAUAUUUAUCUAGGGCUUUGUGUUGGUCACACACACACAAAUUUAACCAAGGGUCCCAUAUCAUAAUAUUUUCAGUGCUUUUUGGCAUACAGAAACAUGGACAGAAGACAUGGAAACAACCCUUAAGGAAUAAUACUUAGCUGUAGCCAUGCAAUACAAAAUUAUACUCUCUGUCAUCAACAUACAAGUGAUCUCUUUACAAAUUUUUUCUCAUUCAAGUUGUACACAUUGUUGGGAAAUGUAAUUAAAAGUGAAAUUUUCUCCAACCCAGUAAAACUCUAUACCAAGUAGGGAAAGGAAAACAAAUUCUUUCUGAAUAAGCUUAAACCAGAAUGUGAUACACAUCACAGGAAAUUGGCUGAAAGAUUGCAAAAACAGGAAAUCUCACCCCUUUAUAUAGUCAAGUAGGUAUAACCCAUUAAAUACCUGUUCUUGAGAUAAGUAAUCACUAGUCCUCAGGUAAGACUUGACAAUACCACCUGUCACACACAGUUAUAUUACAUUCACUUGGUGGUUAGAGUGACCAUCUGCAUUAGCUAAUUGGCUUUGUCAAAAGGAAAUAUAAACGUCUCAUAGGUUUGUAACAAGAGGUAGUUUUGAAACUGGAAGUGAGGCAUCAGCUAAACUUAGGCUCCUACCUUUCCACAGAAACUCGGAGAUAGGGGUACUAUCUUCCUUGAUGAUUACAUGUUGAAGAGAUGGAUCCUGGGGCCUUGAGAAAGACAUUCCUGGGUUGUAAGCUUGGAGGAGAGGCUUAUUUAACUUUUUAAAAGAUUUCCGUAUGUUUCAAAAAGAAGGAAAAAGAAUUUAAGAUUACCAAUUUUCUAAAGUAAUUCUAAAAGGCCAGUGAGUCUCUUCCCCUUUUUUCAACAGGGGAAAUUCUUAAUUUGCAUUUGCCCACAGGUAUACAUCCAGUACUGCUGUUGUGACAACCUCAGGGAGAGCCCGCGUGAGCUCUCACAAAGGAAGGCAAUGUCAAGGUUUCCAUUAGGCUAGUGUUCUUGGUGUCUGUCUGUGGUCCGGGUACUCUGAAUUCUUCAUGCUCUCGAAAUACUAUGUCUCAGCAAAGAAUUCAGUGUUUUAUUUCAGUUUAUUCUGUUUUUAAAAAAUUCUGCAGAUGCAGCUUCUAUACUCUAAGAAUGCUCUGGCCAGUUUGUUCUAAUUUGCAGUUUCUAAUCAACUAGUAAGAUAACAAGAACUGCUAUUACAGCUCUGAAAAGCUUCAUCUACUUCAGAGAAGUUUAUAUUUUGUGAGCAUAAUGACAAAUCUAACAUUUACCUACCAUAUAUAAUUAAGCAUGCAUGCAUAUUAUGGAUAAUUUCAGCUUAAUAUUGAACAUACUUUUCAUUAAUAAAACACAACAGUACUUAAUUAUAAUGGUAAUCUAAAGAUCACUAAUAAGAACUUUCCACCUGUGUGUGUACAUGUGAAGAGGGGAUAUUUGGAACUGAUUAUAUUCGUAGAUUACAAUAGAAAGAACACAAUAGGGUAUGAAAAGGUAAGAUGAUCUUGCUAACAAAGUGCAGAUUUGAGGGGGUACAUCUUUACAUUUUAGUCCCAGCUUGACCACAGAUCAGCUAUGGUAUCUUACCUAGGUCAUUUACAUACCCACACCCCAAAUGCAUACACACACGUGUUCCAUGAGGCUUGGUCUCUUUUUUUGUCAAAGGGAAAAAAAAAAAAAAAAAA